Molecule: transfer RNA, 76 nt
Filed under: Candidatus Omnitrophica bacterium CG1_02_43_210
Lineage: Bacteria; Pseudomonadati; Candidatus Omnitrophota
Also listed under: 6 other names
Description: tRNA-Thr
Rfam family: tRNA
About the family: Transfer RNA (tRNA) molecules are approximately 80 nucleotides in length. Their secondary structure includes four short double-helical elements and three loops (D, anti-codon, and T loops).
Source: RNAcentral
GCCCGCAUGGCUCAGCUGGUAGAGCAGGGCUUUCGUAAAGCUCAGGUCGGGGGUUCAAUUCCCUCUGCGGGCUCCA